UGUUUUACCCAAUAGGUGGGUUAAACGUAUUGGGUUGUUCUGUUGGGUUAUUCCUAGCUUGUAUUGGGUUAUUUCCAUAACAACCCAGAGAGUUGGGUUAAAAUCGGGCUCACGUCACGCAUUUUGAAUUUCAACGGUUGACCGGUGCCACUGCUGAGUGCGGACAGACACGAGAGACAUUCUUGGAGAUGUUGCAUUAAAAACCUUACAAAAUGGCCAGCAAGAUGGUUCAGCCUUCCUACAGUACCAAGAGGCAAAGCAAACAUUUAUUAAUUUGCAACCUGUAAG
Non-coding RNA from Paramisgurnus dabryanus, 288 nucleotides. The record is from RefSeq and is a predicted model, not a curated record. Lineage: Eukaryota; Metazoa; Chordata; Actinopteri; Cypriniformes; Cobitidae.